GCCAGGCAUGGUGGCUCAUGCCUGUAAUCCCAACACUUUGGGAGGCUGAGGCAGGUGGAUCACCUGAGGUCAGGAGUUCAAGACUAGCCUGACCAACAUGGAGAAACCCCGUCUCUA
Molecule: small RNA, 117 nt
Filed under: Macaca fascicularis (crab-eating macaque)
Lineage: Eukaryota; Metazoa; Chordata; Mammalia; Primates; Cercopithecidae
Description: Metazoan signal recognition particle RNA (ENSMFAG00000057170.1)
Source: Rfam by way of RNAcentral